This 198-nucleotide ribosomal RNA is filed under the name uncultured bacterium. Its description in RNAcentral is "partial 16S ribosomal RNA". It matches the Rfam family "Bacterial small subunit ribosomal RNA", at positions 328 to 539 of the family's 1533-position model. The record is from RNAcentral.
ACGCUCGACACCUACAGGAGGCAGCAGUGGGGAAUAUUGCACAAUGGGGGAAACCCUGAUGCAGCGACGCCGCGUGGAGGAAGAAGGUCUUCGGAUUGUAAACUCCUGUCCCAGGGGACGAUAAUGACGGUACCCUGGGAGGAAGCACCGGCUAACUACGUGCCAGCAGCCGCGGUAAUCUGAGCGGGCUGGCAAGGC